UACAGAGGUCUCAAGCGUUGUUCGGAUUCAUUGGGCGUAAAGGGUGCGUAGGCGGCGCGGUAAGUCGGGUGUGAAAUCUCGGAGCUUAACUCCGAAACUGCAUUCGAUACUGCCGUGCUUGAGGACUGGAGAGGAGACUGGAAUUUACGGUGUAGCGGUGAAAUGCGCAGAUAUCAGGAGGAACACCGGUGGCGAAGGCGACCCGCUGGCCAGCGACUGACGCUGAGACGCGAAAGCGUGGGGAGCAAACAGG
This 253-nucleotide ribosomal RNA is filed under the name uncultured bacterium. Its description in RNAcentral is "partial 16S ribosomal RNA". It matches the Rfam family "Bacterial small subunit ribosomal RNA", at positions 524 to 776 of the family's 1533-position model. The record is from RNAcentral.